UCGUAGUAGAGCAACAGGGAUUGCCCCAGUAACGGCGAGUGAAGCGGCAACAGCUCAAAUUUGAAAUCUGGCCCCCGGGUCCGAGUUGUAAUUUGCAGAGGAUGCUUCGGGCGAGGUGCCUUCCGAGUUCCCUGGAACGGGACGCCACAGAGGGUGAGAGCCCCGUCUGGUCGGACACCGAGCCCGUGUGAAGCUCCUUCGAAGAGUCGAGUAGUUUGGGAAUGCUGCUCAAAAUGGGAGGUAUAUGUCUUCUAAAGCUAAAUAUUGGCCAGAGACCGAUAGCGCACAAGUAGAGUGAUCGAAAGAUGAAAAGCACUUUGAAAAGAGGGUUAAAAAGUACGUGAAAUUGUUGAAAGGGAAGCGCCCAUGACCAGACUUGGGCCCGGUGAAUCACCCGGCGUUCUCGCCGGUGCACUUUGCCGGGCACAGGCCAGCAUCAGUUUGGCGCGGGGGACAAAGGCUUCGGGAACGUGGCUCCCUCGGGAGUGUUAUAGCCCGCUGCGUAAUACCCUGCGCCGGACUGAGGUACGCGCAUCGCAAGGAUGCUGGCGUAAUGGUCAUCAGCGACCCGUCUUGAAACACGGACCAAGGAGUCGUCUUCGUAUGCGAGUGUUCGGGUGUCAAACCCCUACGCGGAAUGAAAGUGAACGCAGGUGAGAGCUUCGGCGCAUCAUCGACCGAUCCUGAUGUUCUCGGAUGGAUUUGAGUAAGAGCAUACGGGGCCGGACCCGAAAGAAGGUGAACUAUGCCUGUAUAGGGUGAAGCCAGAGGAAACUCUGGUGGAAGCUCGCAGCGGUUCUGACGUGCGAAUCGAUCGUCAAAUAUGGGCAUGGGGGGCGAAAGACUAAUCGAACCUUCUAGUAGCUGGUUUCCGCCGAUCUUCUCCCCCCCCCUAAGGUUUAGACACA
RNAcentral lists this ribosomal RNA (908 nucleotides) under Cordyceps tenuipes. RNAcentral's name for it is "partial large subunit ribosomal RNA". It matches the Rfam family "Eukaryotic large subunit ribosomal RNA", at positions 50 to 1379 of the family's 3401-position model. The record is from RNAcentral. Lineage: Eukaryota; Fungi; Ascomycota; Sordariomycetes; Hypocreales; Cordycipitaceae.